RNAcentral lists this ribosomal RNA (230 nucleotides) under uncultured microorganism. Its description in RNAcentral is "partial 16S ribosomal RNA". It matches the Rfam family "Bacterial small subunit ribosomal RNA", at positions 524 to 753 of the family's 1533-position model. The record is from RNAcentral.
UACGAAGGGUGCAAGCGUUACUCGGAAUUACUGGGCGUAAAGCGUGCGUAGGUGGUUGUUUAAGUCUGUUGUGAAAGCCCUGGGCUCAACCUGGGAAUUGCAGUGGAUACUGGGCAACUAGAGUGUGGUAGAGGGUAGUGGAAUUCCCGGUGUAGCAGUGAAAUGCGUAGAGAUCGGGAGGAACAUCCAUGGCGAAGGCAGCUACCUGGACCAACACUGACACUGAGGCA